GACAACGCUGGCGGCGUGCUUAACACAUGCAAGUCGUACGAGGACCUGGAGCUUGCUCCGGAGAGCCGAGUGGCGAACGGGUGAGUAACACGUGACCAACCUAUCCAAGGGCGGGGGACAACCCGGGGAAACCUGGGCUAAUACCGCAUGAUGUUCGAGCUCCGCAUGGAGCAUGAAUCAAAGGGGGCCUCUGCUUGCAAGCUCUCACCCAUGGAGGGGGUCGCGACGUAUCAGCUAGUUGGUGGGGUAACGGCCUACCAAGGCUACGACGCGUAGCGGGUCUGAGAGGAUGAUCCGCCACAUUGGGACUGAGAUACGGCCCAGACUCCUACGGGAGGCAGCAGUGGGGAAUAUUGCGCAAUGGACGAAAGUCUGACGCAGCGACGCCGCGUGUGGGAGGAAGCCUUUCGGGGUGUAAACCACUGUCAGAAGGGAAGAACACCAACUGCACUAAUAUUGCUUUUGGAUGACGGUACCUUCAGAGGAAGCGCCGGCUAACUCCGUGCCAGCAGCCGCGGUAAG
Molecule: ribosomal RNA, 522 nt
Filed under: uncultured bacterium
Lineage: Bacteria
Description: bacterial SSU rRNA
Rfam family: Bacterial small subunit ribosomal RNA
Source: RNAcentral